Molecule: ribosomal RNA, 253 nt
Filed under: uncultured bacterium
Lineage: Bacteria
Description: partial 16S ribosomal RNA
Rfam family: Bacterial small subunit ribosomal RNA
Source: RNAcentral
UACGGAAUGUGCAAACGUUAUUCGGAAUCACUGGGCUUAAAGAGUCCGUAGGCGGCUUGUUAGGUGAGGUGUGAAAUCCCUCGGCCCAACCGAGGAAUUGCGCUUCAAACCGGCAAGCUUGAGGAGGAUAGAGGUGGGCGGAACUGAUGGUGGAGCGGUGAAAUGCGUUGAUAUCAUCAGGAACACCGGAGGCGAAAGCGGUCCACUGGGUCCUAUCUGACGCUGAGGGACGAAAGCUAGGGGAGCGAACGGG